Molecule: ribosomal RNA, 392 nt
Filed under: uncultured Bacillus sp.
Lineage: Bacteria; Bacillati; Bacillota; Bacilli; Caryophanales; Bacillaceae
Description: bacterial SSU rRNA
Rfam family: Bacterial small subunit ribosomal RNA
Source: RNAcentral
CAGGUCUUGACAUCCUCUGAAAACUCUAGAGAUAGAGCUUCUCCUUCGGGAGCAGAGUGACAGGUGGUGCAUGGUUGUCGUCAGCUCGUGUCGUGAGAUGUUGGGUUAAGUCCCGCAACGAGCGCAACCCUUGAUCUUAGUUGCCAUCAUUAAGUUGGGCACUCUAAGGUGACUGCCGGUGACAAACCGGAGGAAGGUGGGGAUGACGUCAAAUCAUCAUGCCCCUUAUGACCUGGGCUACACACGUGCUACAAUGGACGGUACAAAGAGCUGCAAGACCGCGAGGUGGAGCUAAUCUCAUAAAACCGUUCUCAGUUCGGAUUGUAGGCUGCAACUCGCCUACAUGAAGCUGGAAUCGCUAGUAAUCGCGGAUCAGCAUGCCGCGGUGAAUA